AUUGAACGCUGGCGGCAGGCCUGACACAUGCAAGUCGAGCGGAUGAAGGGAGCUUGCUCCUGGAUUCAGCGGCGGACGGGUGAGUAAUGCCUAGGAAUCUGCCUGGUGGUGGGGGAUAACGUCCGGAAACGGGCGCUAAUACCGCAUACGUCCUGAGGGAGAAAGUGGGGGAUCUUCGGACCUCACGCUAUCAGAUGAGCCUAGGUCGGAUUAGCUAGUUGGUGGGGUAAAGGCCUACCAAGGCGACGAUCCGUAACUGGUCUGAGAGGAUGAUCAGUCACACUGGAACUGAGACACGGUCCAGACUCCUACGGGAGGCAGCAGUGGGGAAUAUUGGACAAUGGGCGAAAGCCUGAUCCAGCCAUGCCGCGUGUGUGAAGAAGGUCUUCGGAUUGUAAAGCACUUUAAGUUGGGAGGAAGGGCAGUAAGUUAAUACCUUGCUGUUUUGACGUUACCAACAGAAUAAGCACCGGCUAACUUCGUG
RNAcentral lists this ribosomal RNA (484 nucleotides) under uncultured bacterium. RNAcentral's name for it is "partial 16S ribosomal RNA". It matches the Rfam family "Bacterial small subunit ribosomal RNA", at positions 30 to 507 of the family's 1533-position model. The record is from RNAcentral.